Molecule: ribosomal RNA, 488 nt
Filed under: uncultured Acidobacteriota bacterium
Lineage: Bacteria; Pseudomonadati; Acidobacteriota
Description: bacterial SSU rRNA
Rfam family: Bacterial small subunit ribosomal RNA
Source: RNAcentral
GAGGGGUCCGCGUCCGAUUAGCUAGUUGGUAGGGUAACGGCCUACCAAGGCGACGAUCGGUAGCCGGCCUGAGAGGGUGAUCGGCCACACUGGAACUGAGACACGGUCCAGACUCCUACGGGAGGCAGCAGUGGGGAAUUUUGCGCAAUGGGCUAACGCCUGACGCAGCAACGCCGCGUGGAGGAUGAAGGUCUUUGGAUUGUAAACUCCUGUCAGCAGGGAAAAAGCGACUCGGCCUAACAUGCCGGGGAGUUGAUUGUACCUGCAGAGGAAGCCCCGGCUAACUCUGUGCCAGCAGCCGCGGUAAUACAGAGGGGGCAAGCGUUAUUCGGAAUUAUUGGGCGUAAAGGGCGCGUAGGCGGCUUGGCAAGUGGAUGGUGAAAUCCCUCGGCUUAACUGAGGAACUGCCGUCCAAACUGCUUUGCUUGAGGCCGGGAGAGGCGAGUGGAAUUCCCAGUGUAGCGGUGAAAUGCGUAGAUAUUGGGAGG